CAAAAAGUAGCUUACACCACAAAGCAUCUGGCUUACAACCAGAAGCCGUUGUUAACACAACCUUUUUGA
This 69-nucleotide transfer RNA is filed under the name Aspidoscelis marmoratus (Marbled whiptail). RNAcentral's name for it is "tRNA-Val". It matches the Rfam family "tRNA". From Rfam's summary of the family: Transfer RNA (tRNA) molecules are approximately 80 nucleotides in length. Their secondary structure includes four short double-helical elements and three loops (D, anti-codon, and T loops). Lineage: Eukaryota; Metazoa; Chordata; Lepidosauria; Squamata; Teiidae. The record is from RNAcentral.